Long non-coding RNA from Mauremys mutica (yellowpond turtle), 2022 nucleotides. RefSeq lists it as uncharacterized. The transcript is spliced from 3 exons. NCBI's taxonomy places the organism in Eukaryota, Metazoa, Chordata, Testudines, Geoemydidae. The record is from RefSeq and is a predicted model, not a curated record.
CCUCGUGCCGCCCCACCCGCCGCCCCGCGCAGCCCCGCUUUGGCCCGGCGUGUCCUCGCCCCGUGUCCCCACCGCACCCCCCAGCUAGGGCGGGAAAUAAUGGGGGGCACACAGGGGCUGCAGAGAGUCCCUGUAAUAGAGGGUGGCCAUGGGGCAGCGGAGGCUGGGGGGGGGGGAUGCCAGGAGCCCCGCAGCGGGUGCAAUGCGCUUGGCCUGCAGCAGCAGCAAAGCACCCGCCUAUCCUGGGCGGUCAGGGACUGAUUUCCCAGCCUGGGAAAUGGCGCUGCUAACACGCUUUGCGGGGGACCGAUCUGUGCACACUCGAUGCUGUGCAGGCGUGACGCGUUGCGGUGACACUCAUAUAUACACCUCUAUGCACGGCCCGGUUAGCUUGCGGUAUAUGAGGCCAAUGUUGCCUCGAACCAAACUCUCCCGCACGGAAAGCGCGAGCUCCAGAGUUUUUUUUAAACAGAACUGAUUAUCAUGACGCGGUGUCUUGACCUAUCUGCAAAGUUCCUGUAAUAUGAUUGAUCCAUCAAAGUUCAGCAGGAGCCAGUCAAGAUUUCCACAAUGAGAAUGACACCGGACUCUGAUGCCAUUAUAAAGAAGGGUGACCAGCUGCAACAAAAAGCCCAGUAAUGUAAUUUUCUAACAGCGCAUUGUUCAACAGAAUUGUUUUAAUAGUGUUGAUUUUGAAGCAAACUUGUUAUCCCUGUUUGAACAUGAAUUAUUAAUUUUGUGAGCAUUCAUGGACUGCCAUACAAUUUCCAUACCAAGAUGUGGCCUUCAGGCCAAAAAGUUUGCCCACCCCUGCUCUUUGAGGCUAAGAGACUUCACACUGGCAUGAGCUGAUGAUUGUAGAUAGCCAGUUUUGUUUUGUUUUAAAUCACAAAGGUUACUGUGUGGUUUGAGCAGCUCAGAUAACUAGUUGAGACUUGUUAGCAGCUCUUCUUCUGCAAGUUCUUUGCUAACAAUGUUAGUCCUGAGAUGUGAUAGUUCUAAUUUAAAAAAAUACACCAACUACUACUUUUUUAGGGUGAAAUCCAGUCCUUGAGACACAAAACCCAAGCAAUAGAUGGGUAGGGGCUGGACUUCACGUUUGCACAAGCAGGCAGACCACAAAGGUGCAGCACAGCAGCCCCUACACGAAUGCUAGUCCUACGGUCUGAAAUAGUAACCCUGUCAGUGCAUCCUACGGGAAGGAGAGGUCACAGCCAUGUAACCCAAAUACACUUUGAUAUGAUAGCCACUCCCCAGACCACCAACGGUUCUCUUUCAUACAGACCUAUUGGGAGUGGUGCAUUUCACAGUUCAAGGCAACUGCACUUGCAUUCCCCUUCUGUGGUCCCGCAAGGACGUCCGUUAGGCUCCCAAUUCGCAGCUGUCACUUGUCUUGGGUGGAGACUGUAGCCCAGUGGGCUAGCUUGCCUUAUUAUAUUUACUGAUUUGCAUUAUAUUCUGCUUUGCAUUAUAUUCAGCAGUAAUGCAAAAAACCUACAGGCCUGUAUCCUGUAAGACAUUAGCUUCAGCAAGUUAGCAUAAGGCUUGAGGCCUAUGAACUUUGAACAAAUAAGCUUUGCAUAGAUAAACGGCUUAACGGAAAACCCAAAGUAUUUGGGGAGCUGAAAAUAGAGUUUAAGGGGAAGCUCUGACCAUAGGUACAUGAGUCAACCGCAGAAGUAUCCUAGCAAAGAACUAACAUACAUAACAGGUACAUGAGAUGCAUCUAAGGCUAGCCUGCUUGCUUGCCUAUAUAUCUUUUCUUAUAAGUUUGUUAUUUUCUUAUGGGUUUGAUUAUUUUGUUUUAUUAUUAUAGGUUUAUAUUAGAGUAUAUUUUGGCUGUAACAGAAGGGACCUGCAGGCCACGUCCUAUAUGUUGAGCUAAGACAAAGUUAGCAUACAUAUGUUUAGGACCUUUCACCUAGAUAAGUGGUUCUCAAAUUUUUGUACUGGUGACCCCUUUCACAUAGCAAGCCUCUGAGUGUGACCCGCCCCUUAUACAUUAAAAACCUUUUAAAUAUA